Small nucleolar RNA from Cricetulus griseus (Chinese hamster), 127 nucleotides. Ensembl annotates it as small nucleolar RNA SNORA26. The record is from Ensembl. NCBI's taxonomy places the organism in Eukaryota, Metazoa, Chordata, Mammalia, Rodentia, Cricetidae.
GUGCCCUUUUAAGGUUGUCGCAGUACUUUAAGAGGCUAAUCCAGAAGGAUAAAAGAACUCUCCAUGGGCUUUAACCCAUGGAGGGGACUGUACAUCUCCUCCUUGGAUCCUGUCUGGAGUCACAGAU